Molecule: ribosomal RNA, 492 nt
Filed under: uncultured bacterium
Lineage: Bacteria
Description: partial 16S ribosomal RNA
Rfam family: Bacterial small subunit ribosomal RNA
Source: RNAcentral
AGUGAACGCUGGCGGUAGGCCUAACACAUGCAAGUCGAACGGCAGCACAGUAAGAGCUUGCUCUUACAGGUGGCGAGUGGCGGACGGGUGAGGAAUACAUCGGAAUCUACUUUUUCGUGGGGGCUAACGUAGGGAAACUUACGCUAAUACCGCAUACGACCUACGGGUGAAAGCAGGGGAUCUUCGGACCUUGCGCGAUUGAAUGGUCCGAUGUCGGAUUAGCUAGUUGGAGGGGUAAAGGCCCACCAAGGCGACGGUCCGUAGCUGGUCUGAGAGGAUGAUGAGCCACACUGGAACUGAGACACGGUCCAGACUCCUACGGGAGGCAGCAGUGGGGAAUAUUGGACAAUGGGCGCAAGCCUGAUCCAGCCAUACCGCGUGGGUGAAGAAGGCCUUCGGGUUGUAAAGCCCUUUUGUUGGGAAAGAAAAGCAGCAGGUUAAUACCCCGCUGUUCUGACGGUACCCAAAGAAUAAGCACCGGCUAACUUCGUG